UACGGAGGGUGCAAGCGUUAUCCGGAUUCACUGGGUUUAAAGGGAGCGUAGGUGGGUUGGUAAGUCAGUGGUGAAAUCCCCGAGCUUAACUUGGGAACUGCCAUUGAUACUAUCAGUCUUGAAUACUGUGGAGGUUAGCGGAAUAUGUCAUGUAGCGGUGAAAUGCUUAGAUAUGACAUAGAACACCAAUUGCGAAGGCAGCUGGCUGCACAAUUAUUGACACUGAGGCUCGAAAGCGUGGGGAUCAAACAGG
Molecule: ribosomal RNA, 253 nt
Filed under: uncultured bacterium
Lineage: Bacteria
Description: partial 16S ribosomal RNA
Rfam family: Bacterial small subunit ribosomal RNA
Source: RNAcentral